This 256-nucleotide long non-coding RNA is filed under the name Diabrotica virgifera virgifera (western corn rootworm). Its description in RNAcentral is "uncharacterized LOC126886037". Lineage: Eukaryota; Metazoa; Arthropoda; Insecta; Coleoptera; Chrysomelidae. The record is from RNAcentral.
ACCCGGACCAUGAAAAAAGUUUAAAUGUUUUUGUGCAACGUGUAUGUGGCCGUUUCUUUCUGUUUUUUUGCUGUUUGCUGUUGUACGGAGGACUAAGUUAGCAUUCAAAAUUUAAAAAUCAAAUGUACAUUCCUAAGAUGCACUUUUUUACACCUCUAUGUAGCGGUACUUUUUUAGUAUUUGACCAUUAGCUCCGAUGAUGACGUUUAUGUCGAAAGCGCUCAGCUAAGGAAAUAAAAUUAUUUACACACUUUGA